RNAcentral lists this ribosomal RNA (407 nucleotides) under uncultured bacterium. Its description in RNAcentral is "partial 16S ribosomal RNA". It matches the Rfam family "Bacterial small subunit ribosomal RNA", at positions 28 to 526 of the family's 1533-position model. The record is from RNAcentral.
GACGAACGCUGGCGGCGUGCCUAAUACAUGCAAGUAGAACGCAGUUGCGAACGGGUGAGUAACGCGUAGGUAACUGCCUCAUAGCGGGGGAUAACUAUUGGAAACGAUAGCUAAUACCGCAUAAUGUUAUAUGGACCGACUUUGGAUUUGAUAGUUGGUGAGGUAAAGGUUAACCAAGGGGCCGCUCAAUAGCCGACCUGGGAGGGGGAGCGGCCCCACUGGGACUGGGACACGGCCCAGACUCCGACGGGAGGCAGCAGUAGGGAAUCUGCGGCAAUGGACGGAAGUCUGACCGGGCAACGCCGCGUGAGUGAAGAAGGUUUUCUCAUCGUAAAGCUCUGUUGUUAGGGAAGCGGUAACUAAACAGAAAGGGACGGCUAACUACGUGCCAGCAGCCGCGGUAAUUC